AUUUUUAAUUUGAAUCUAGAAUGAAUGAUAAAAUGAAAUAAUAACUUUUUUAUUUUUAAAAUUUGAAUUUUAUUUUUAAGUUAAAAAGCUUAAGUUUAAAAAUUAGACGAGAAGACCCUAUAGAAUUUAAUUAAUAAUUAAAAAAAAUUUUUUUUUUAAUUUAAUUUAGUUGGGGAGAUUUUAAAAUUUAAAAAACUUUUAUUUUUUAAAUCAUUAUUUUUUGUUUAAAUGAUCUUUUUUUAAAAAAAGAAAGAUUAAAUUACCUUAGGGAUAACAGCAUUAUUUUAAAAAAAAGUACUUAU
RNAcentral lists this ribosomal RNA (302 nucleotides) under Asphondylia pruniperda. Its description in RNAcentral is "partial 16S ribosomal RNA". Lineage: Eukaryota; Metazoa; Arthropoda; Insecta; Diptera; Cecidomyiidae. The record is from RNAcentral.